Non-coding RNA from Zootermopsis nevadensis, 597 nucleotides. Lineage: Eukaryota; Metazoa; Arthropoda; Insecta; Blattodea; Termopsidae. The record is from RefSeq and is a predicted model, not a curated record.
GCCACCUCAUUCAUCCUACUUUCACUAUAUCUGAUUCAUUGUAUAAUUUAUAAAGUUCGUGGUUAUAUCUAAACCUCCAUAUACCAUUUUCCUUAAUUGGGUCAUAUUGUUUCUUAAUAUCCUUCUUUCAAAGUUUUGGAGCAUAUUUCAAAUUUAUCCUUGUGAGCCGCAAGCUUUCACUUCCAUAGUUACUGAAGAACUGCACACACUACAAGCCUCUGGCCUGUUUCAACCCUUGAUGAAUGUGACUAAACCUCAUCACCUCCGCCAUGCACCAAACAGGAUUUGUUCUUGUAAUACGAUGUCACUGAUGUUCCAGUCAUCACUAGACAGAGCACCAGCACCGUUCAUAAUACAGCGCACCACCACCGUGUGGUCAUACAACAGUGAAGGCAGCAGCUGCAAAAAGUGAAUCAAAUUCGAGUGAUGUCACAGCCAUGCCAAGUACUUCCAGAACUUCGGUUGUAUCUGGGCCAGAUUAUCAGCUAUCCCAACUGAGGUCUUCCAUUAACUUUCUCAGAAUAAUAUUUGCAAAUGGGGUGUGACUGUCUACUUCCAAAACCUUACCUACUCAGCACACACAAUUAUUUUACCUUA